UGUUAAAAUUUUCUUCCAUUUGUACUGUUAAAAACUUGUGUGGCUGAUGGAAUAAUCAAAUAGUAAUACGUGACAUGCCACGUGUACAUCAUGCUGACAUACAUGGAUUGUUUUUAAUAAUAGACAUGGAUGACAAUUUUAACG
Non-coding RNA from Gossypium arboreum, 144 nucleotides. The record is from Rfam. Lineage: Eukaryota; Viridiplantae; Streptophyta; Magnoliopsida; Malvales; Malvaceae.